CCGAAGCGUAACGACGUCUGCCUCAUCGCCAUCGACAUUCCCCAACCGCCGUUUCAAACAGGCGAGGCGCGUCGUCGUAGCGGUUCGGUAGGAUAUGACAUGUUACACGGAAGGGUCUUUGGAACCUCAGCAUCAUGCGUAUUUUGUACUGGAAUCUCGGGAGCAUCGAGGCAGUACUGGCCAGUACGUCGAACAACUACGUCGUGCAUAACAACGAUUGCCGUGGUGUGCGAGAGCUAGCGUUCCUUUGUUCUCCGGCUUUGCAGUUAAGAGUCUGGUGCGUAUCACUGACGAACUCAUGCGAACGGCGGAACUGUUAUCCACACACAACCAUGGAUAGUCUCACACAUGUGUAAAGUUACUGGUGUCUCUACAACACUGAAGAGCCAGGCAUAAACCGGAAGACGUCGCUUGGGUCUGCCAGUGAUUAGGCUGCUUCCGCAUGUAACCAUCUAUACUGCAAGAGAAACUGCGGGAUGACGUUUGCGAAGUGGCGUAGCAAUCACGUGAUUAUUAUUAUUAUGACCAUUAUUGUCUUAUUAGGCAUCUUAUCCGUGUCACCCUAUAUUGUUAAUAAUUAGCCUAUUUAUGUUGUAAUAUCAUAUUUUGUACUAUUAGAAAGAGCGUUUCUUACAGUGCAUGUAACAUCACUGUACUUGGUUUGUGUUCAAUAAACAAGAGUUCGUUGGUACGA
Ornithodoros turicata is the source of this 694-nucleotide long non-coding RNA. RefSeq lists it as uncharacterized. The transcript has 4 exons. The record is from RefSeq and is a predicted model, not a curated record. Lineage: Eukaryota; Metazoa; Arthropoda; Arachnida; Ixodida; Argasidae.